This is an RNA transcript of Cornus florida, 4532 nucleotides long. RefSeq lists it as uncharacterized. Lineage: Eukaryota; Viridiplantae; Streptophyta; Magnoliopsida; Cornales; Cornaceae. The record is from RefSeq and is a predicted model, not a curated record. The transcript is spliced from 28 exons.
UAUGUCACACCCCCAAGUCAUAUGUUACAAUAACUCGCGCAGAGUAGUAGAUCUGCUAUACUGAAAACAGCCUCUUGAAAGCCGAAGCUGAAGCUUCAGAUCAGACGAAUAAUGGCGAUUCUUAGAGACUAUUAUUUUCUUCUGAGUUUCUUCAUGAUGCAUAUAGUCUGUGCCACUUCAUACGCUGCUGCUGAUCUGAUCCAAGGAUGUGGUGGAUUUGUUGAGGCCAGUUCGGUUUUGAUCAAGACGAGGAAGGCGACUGAUGCUAAAUUGGAUUAUUCUCAUAUCACGGUUGAACUUCGCACAUUGGAAGGAUUGGUGAAGGAAAGAACUCAGUGUGCUCCAAAUGGUUACUACUUUAUUCCGGUUUAUGACAAGGGUUCUUUUAUAAUUAAAAUCAAGGGGCCGGAAGGAUGGACAAGGGACCCAGAUCAAGUCCCUGUUGUUGUUGAUCAGACUGGCUGUAAUGCCAAUGAUGAUAUAAAUUUUCGAUUCACAGGGUUCACAAUAUCUGGAAGAGUUGUAGGAGCUGAUGGUGGAGAGAGCUGUUCACAUAAAAAUGGGGGCCCAUCAAAUAUAAAGGUUGAGCUUUUGUCUUCCAUGGGCGAUCUGGUCUCCACUGUUUUAACAUCAUCGGGGGGAAGUUACACUUUUGCCAACAUUAUCCCAGGAAAAUAUAAAUUGCACGCUUCUCGUCCUGAUUUGGAUAUUGAAAUUAGAGGUUCCACGGAGGUGCAAUUGGGGUUUGGAAAUGGUGUAGUCGAUGAUAUUUUCUUUGUCACUGGAUAUGAUAUUCGUGGAUACGUAGUUGCUCAGGGAAAUCCUAUAUUGGGAGUUCACAUUUAUUUAUAUUCAGAUGAUAUCAUUGAGGUGGACUGCCCCCAGGGUGCUGGUAAUUCCCCUGGACAAAAAAAAGCACUCUGCCAUGCUGUGUCUGAUGCUGAUGGAAUGUUCACAUUUAAAGCAAUACCUUGUGGUGUUUAUGAGCUUAUACCUUACUACAAGGGCGAGAACACAGUUUUUGAUGUUUCGCCUACCUUCAUGCCGGUGUCUGUCAGACAUGAUCAUGCAACAGUCCUCCAAAAGUUUCAGGUCACUGGAUUUUCUGUUGGGGGUCGGGUAGUUGAUGGUAAUGAUGCGGGAGUGGAUGGUGUAAAAAUUGUAGUUGAUGGUCAUGAAAGGUCUACUACUGACAAAGAAGGAUAUUACAAGCUUGACCAGGUCACGUCUGAUCGCUAUACUAUAGAAGCGAAAAAGGAGCACUACAAGUUUGACAAGCUGGUGGACUUUUUGGUUCUGCCAAACAUGGCUUCAGUUGUAGAUAUUAAAGCGGUCUCCUAUGAUGUUUGUGGCAUGGUUCAGAUGGUUAGUUCUGGCUACAAGGCGAAGGUAGCCUUGACUCAUGGACCGGAGAAUGUUAAACCUCAAGUGAAAACGACAAAUGAGCAUGGUAAUUUCUGCUUUGAGGUUCAACCAGGCGAAUAUCGCUUAUCUGCUUUUGCAGCUACAACUGAGAGUGCUCCGGGACUUCUGUUUUUGCCACCUUAUGUUGAUGUCACAGUAAACAGUCCAUUACUCAAUGUUGGAUUUUACCAGGCACAAGUGAAUGUACUUGGCUCAGUAGCCUGCAAGGAGAAAUGUGGUUCAUCUGUUUCUGUUAGUCUUGUAAGAUUGGAUGGUAAAAGUAAACAAGAGACAAUGGCAGUGAGUUUGGCUGAUGACAGCAGUGAAUUUGUGUUUCCGAACAUUUUACCUGGGAAUUACAAGCUUGAGGUGAUGCAUAGUUCCCCUGGAGCCAGGACGGGAGUAGAUAAUUGGUGCUGGGAACAGAGUUCUAUUGAUGUGGAUGUUGGCACUGAUGAUGUUAAAGGAAUUGUCUUUGUUCAGAAAGGCUAUUGGGUUAAUGUAAUUUCCACCCAUGAUGUAGAUGCUUACGUGACUCAACCAGAUGGUUCACAUGUGAAUUUGAAAAUCAAGAAAGGUGCUCAGCACAUAUGUAUAGAAUCGCCUGGAACGCAUGAACUUCACUUUGCGAACUCGUGUAUUUUCUUCGGGAGCUCAUCUAUGAAAAUUGAUACAUCAAACCCGUUGCCCAUCUAUCUAAAAGGAGAAAAAUAUAUCCUUGGAGGGAAAAUCCAUGUUGAAUCAAGCUCACUCAAUGAUUUAACGGAGUUACCUGAGGAUAUAUUAGUGGACAUUCUUAAUAAUGAGGGUACUAUUGUUGAUGGUACUAAUGCCAGACUUGAAGCUAGUGGAAAUGAUCAGUAUGUGUACAAGUAUUCCAUAUGGGCUAAUCCUGGAGAAAAACUUACUUUUGUUCCCCAGGACUCGAGGAGUGAUGGGAAAAAUAAAAUAUUGUUUUAUCCUAGGCAUCAUCAUGUGUUUGUGACACAUAAUGGUUGCCAAUCUUCAAUUCCUCCAUUUUCUGGUAGACUGGGGUUGUACAUUGAAGGAUCAGUUUCACCCCCUCUUUCUGGUGUUCAUAUUAGACUUAUUGCAGCGGGAGAUAGCAGCAAUGCUCCACUUAAGAAAGGUGAAUUAGCACUUGAGACCACCACUGGGGCAGAUGGUUUCUUUGUUGGGGGACCUCUAUAUGAUGAUAUUAUUUACACCACUGAGGCUUCAAAGCCUGGUUAUCAUGUAAAGCCAGUUGGAACUCAUUCGUUCUCUUGUCAGAAGCUUAGUCAAAUUUCUGUACACAUAUAUUCUAAGGAAGAUGCUGAAGAGCUUUUUCCUCCUGUUCUAUUAUCAUUAAGUGGUGAAGAUGGUUACAGGAACAACUCCGUAACUAGUGCUGGUGGAAUUUUCCUCUUUGAUAAUUUGUUUCCUGGGAGUUUCUAUCUCCGCCCUCUUCUUAAGGAGUAUGCUUUUAUACCUCAGGCACAGGCAAUUGAUCUCGGUUCUGGUGAGUCUAGGGAAGUCAUGUUCCAGGCCACACGUGUUGCUUACAGUGCAAUGGGUGUAGUUACUCUCUUGUCUGGCCAGCCAAAAGAAGGUGUUUCUGUAGAAGCCCGUUCAGAGUCGAAAGGCUUUUAUGAGGAGACAAUUACAGAUUCAUCAGGAAGUUACCGUCUGAGAGGACUUCUCCCAGAGACAACCUAUAUAAUCAGAGUAGUGAAAAAGGGUGACUUCGAUAGCACUAGAAUUGAACGCGCUUCUCCAGAAUCUCUUCUUGUUACGGUUGGAUCUGAGGAUACAAGGGGAUUGGACUUUUUGGUAUUUGAACAGCCAGAAAGGACCAUUUUAAGUGGGCAUGUUGAGGGAAUGAGAAUUGAGGAGCUACAUUCACAUCUUCAGGUGGAAAUCAGAUCAGCCAGUGACCCAUAUAAGAUUGAAUCUCUUUUCUCGUUGCCUCUUUCGAAUUUCUUCCAGGUGAAGGACUUGCCCAAGGUGAAGCACCUUUUGCAGCUUCGGUCAUCUCUCCCAUCAAGCACCCACAAAUUUGAAUCUGAAGUUAUUGAGGUUGACUUAGAGAAACAAACCCAAAUUCAUGUUGGCCCACUCAGAUACAGUAUUGAAGAGGAUCAACACAAACAGGAAUUGACUCCAGCACCGGUAUACCCUCUUAUUGUUGGAGUUUCAGUGAUUGCCCUUUUUAUCAGCAUGCCAAGAUUAAAGGAUAUUUACCAGGCCACAAUAGGAGUAUCCCUAUCAGGGUUAACUGCAACUGCAAAGAAAGAAGCGAGAAAACCAGUUGUGAGAAAGAAGACUUAUUGAUGACCCGUUGCACAUCUUUCUGGAGGCAGACAUGAAAUCAAGGUCUACUGCAAAUUUAACAUUUUGGCUUCAAGUUUUGGCAAAACAUAGUGUUUACUUAGCAGACUCACAGUGCAGUUUCCGAACGAUUGAACUUCUCUUGCACUGGGACUUAAACUGGGCUAGAUUUAUACAUUGACCUGGAUUAACAGGACAAAAGUGUUUUAGCUGAACUUUGGGUGCUUUGGAUGGGAUGAUUCUUGCGCCUCUUGCCACUGGUAUUGGAUUAUUUGGGCAGCAUUUGAUUUUAUGAUUUAAGUGGACCUUAAAUACUAGGGACUGAACAAUGGGAACCACACUGGCCACGCAACAAGAAGCGUUCUGGCUGUUAGGAAAAUGAGUCUACGCGGCAGCGGAAAUUAAAUUUUUUAUUUUUCCCCAUUAGUUGUAGUAAAUCAUACUCUAAAACAGGAGUAAAAAAUUCCGUACCUUUUGGGCAAACACGAAGACUUGUCAACAUGAAUUAAUAAAUGAAGACUUCACGUUGAAACCCAGAACAGAAACUUUAAAUGUUCGGCUGUUGAGCUAAGGAUCUCCAAAAAUUUUGAUUUUGAAUAUGUUUUAACCCCAAAUGUUAGCUUUCUAAUGAUGCUGAUUUCAGAUCAAUCGGAGUUGUAACAAAGGAGGUGUAGCCGUUUUAUCGACACUGUUUGUAUGCCCAAUGACCUGUAAUCUAGAAAGAGUCAUCAAAAUAACCAUGUAACUAAGGCCCUGUUUGGUAACUGUUUUUGUUUAUUGUUCAUUUAAAGCUUAAACAUAACAGUGUUUAUGUGUCA